Molecule: long non-coding RNA, 1149 nt
Organism: Anas platyrhynchos (mallard)
Lineage: Eukaryota; Metazoa; Chordata; Aves; Anseriformes; Anatidae
Source: RefSeq, a predicted model, not a curated record
GGGGAGCACAGUGUGUGCGCGCCAGAGCUUGGGGUGAGCGGAGUGGCUGUCCCUCCAGAGCAAGGAAGAUGAAUGUCCAAAGGAAAGUUUCCCCUUGAACCAGUGAUCAUCCCCCCCAUUCCUGGCAUGUGAGACUGCACCACUUACUGACAUGGCGUUGUCUCUGCUGCUGCCUGAAGGCAACUGCUCAGAUGCCAGAGAGAAGGGGCACAGGGCCAAAUUAACCCUUAGCCUUCCCACUUCACUCCAGUGCAGCGUGUCUGGAGCGAGGCUCACCUGCUCUGCAUGCUGCCAUGGUCAUCUGUUGCUACUGAGACCUCCUCCUACCAGCUGUACUGCUGUACAGGGUGGCCUGAUGCCACUGUAGUCUUCUGAAAGAUUAAAAACCUGAGCUAUUUUCCUUUGGAAAAGCCAAAGGUUGAUUGCUUCUCCCUUUUUUCCCCCUCCUACAAUUAAAAAGCAAAUGCCCUUUCAUUGCUCAUCCUUCUACUGCUGCAAUGAGAGCAAGUCCAUGGGCAAGGUCUGUACUUUGGCAGUUGGUGCGCAUCUCAGGAACCAUCAGCCAAAGUGCUGAUCUUCCUGGCAGGAAGGAACACAGUCUGGUGCAUCCAGAAGGCUUAAAUUUUGAAAGGUUGGUUGAUAUCUUACCUACCUUAAAAAAAAAGGGUUAAAAAAGUGUGUUUAAACAUUCCUCAUAUGAUACAACUUUCCUAAACACUGUGGAAAGAUGACUGUGUACAGGAAUAUUUUGGCUGUAUAGAAAGAAGGUAUUUGUAAUUGCUGCUUUUUAGUUCACUCUUACUCAUGGAAUAGUUGUCACAGAACAGCUACACAGUGAGCAUCUUAAGGAGCACCCAUUAUUUCUAGAACAUUUGCAUGAGAGGUUGCAAAAAAUCAUAACGUACCUAUUAAUCACUUAGAGCAAGAAUCAGUUUUACUUCGAGAAUGUGCUACAAAUGCAUUAUUCAUCACCUAAUUGCAAGUGCUGAACUGUAGUUAUGUUUUGUCUUGACUAAAACAUGCUUUCCCUUCUUCUACUGCUCCCACCCAUUUUAAGAUCAGGAUUUUUUUUUUUUAAACUUUGCUGUAUUUAAAUUGCAUGGGAUAUAUGGUAAAUCCUUUAACAGCCAAGCCUUCUAAGCUACUUGG